This 497-nucleotide ribosomal RNA is filed under the name uncultured bacterium. Its description in RNAcentral is "partial 16S ribosomal RNA". It matches the Rfam family "Bacterial small subunit ribosomal RNA", at positions 28 to 507 of the family's 1533-position model. The record is from RNAcentral.
GAUGAACGCUGGCGGCGUGCCUAAUACAUGCAAGUCGAGCGAACGGAUGAGAAGCUUGCUUUUCUGAUGUUAGCGGCGGACGGGUGAGUAACACGUGGAAAACCUACCUAUAAGACUGGGAUAACUUCGGGAAACCGUAGCUAAUACCGGAUAAUAUUUUGAACCGCAUUGUUCAAAAGUGAAAGACGGUCUUGCUGUCACUUAUAGAUGGAUCCGCGCUGCAUUAGCUAGUUGGUAAGGUAACGGCUUACCAAGGCAACGAUGCAUAGCCGACCUGAGAGGGUGAUCGGCCACACUGGAACUGAGACACGGCCCAGACUCCUACGGGAGGCAGCAGUAGGGAAUCUUCCGCAAUGGGCGAAAGCCUGACGGAGCAACGCCGCGUGAGUGAUGAAGGUCUUCGGAUCGUAAAACUCUGUUAUUAGGGAAGAACAUGUGUGUAAGUAACUGUGCGCAUCUUGACGGUACCUAAUCAGAAAGCCACGGCUAACUACGUG